Molecule: transfer RNA, 70 nt
Filed under: Pantodon buchholzi (freshwater butterflyfish)
Lineage: Eukaryota; Metazoa; Chordata; Actinopteri; Osteoglossiformes; Pantodontidae
Description: tRNA-Glu
Rfam family: tRNA
About the family: Transfer RNA (tRNA) molecules are approximately 80 nucleotides in length. Their secondary structure includes four short double-helical elements and three loops (D, anti-codon, and T loops). Further hydrogen bonds mediate the characteristic L-shaped molecular structure. tRNAs have two regions of fundamental functional importance: the anti-codon, which is responsible for specific mRNA codon recognition, and the 3' end, to which the tRNAs corresponding amino acid is attached (by aminoacyl-tRNA synthetases). tRNAs cope with the degeneracy of the genetic code in two manners: having more than one tRNA (with a specific anti-codon) for a particular amino acid; and 'wobble' base-pairing, i.e. permitting non-standard base-pairing at the 3rd anti-codon position.
Source: RNAcentral
GUUUCUGUGGUUGAAUAACAACGACGGCUUUUCGAGCCGUUGGUCUUGGUUAAAGUCCAAGUAGAAAUAA